UGGGAAGUAUAUUUCGGCACCAACAAUGGUGACCAGUGGCCACAGUUCUAGAGUCUGGACGUCUGAGAUCAGGGUGCCAGCACUGUCGAGGUCACAGACUGCAGACCUCCUUGUAUCUUCAAAUGGAGGAAAGAGGACAAGAGAGCUCCUGUGGUCCCUUUUAUCAAGAUGAAUGCACAAGGAAAAUGUUGUACAUUUGCACAUUGGAGUACACUUCAGCCAUAAAAAGAAUGAGAUGCUGUCAUUUGCAACAACAGGU
This 259-nucleotide long non-coding RNA is filed under the name Homo sapiens (human). RNAcentral's name for it is "HSALNT0349162". Lineage: Eukaryota; Metazoa; Chordata; Mammalia; Primates; Hominidae. The record is from RNAcentral.